Molecule: ribosomal RNA, 484 nt
Filed under: uncultured bacterium
Lineage: Bacteria
Description: partial 16S ribosomal RNA
Rfam family: Bacterial small subunit ribosomal RNA
Source: RNAcentral
AUUGAACGCUGGCGGCAGGCCUAACACAUGCAAGUCGAGCGGAUGAAGGGAGCUUGCUCCUGGAUUCAGCGGCGGACGGGUGAGUAAUGCCUAGGAAUCUGCCUGGUAGUGGGGGAUAACGUCCGGAAACGGGCGCUAAUACCGCAUACGUCCUGAGGGAGAAAGUGGGGGAUCUUCGGACCUCACGCUAUCAGAUGAGCCUAGGUCGGAUUAGCUAGUUGGUGGGGUAAAGGCCUACCAAGGCGACGAUCCGUAACUGGUCUGAGAGGAUGAUCAGUCACACUGGAACUGAACCCCGGUCCAGACUCCUACGGGAGGCAGCAGUGGGGAAUAUUGGACAAUGGGCGAAAGCCUGAUCCAACCAUGCCGCGUGUGUGAAGAAGGUCUUCGGAUUUUAAAGCUCUUUAAGUUGGGAGAAAGGGCAGUAGGUUAAUACCUUGCUGUUUUGACGGUACCAAAAGAAUAAGCACCGGCUAACUUCGUG